RNAcentral lists this ribosomal RNA (270 nucleotides) under uncultured bacterium. RNAcentral's name for it is "partial 16S ribosomal RNA". It matches the Rfam family "Bacterial small subunit ribosomal RNA", at positions 524 to 791 of the family's 1533-position model. The record is from RNAcentral.
UACGUAGGGGGCUAGCGUUGUCCGGAAUCAUUGGGCGUAAAGAGCGUGUAGGCGGUCCGGUAAGUCCGCUGUGAAAGUCGGGGGCUCAACCCUCGAAUGCCGGUGGAUACUGUCGGGCUAGAGUGCGGAAGAGGCGAGUGGAAUUCCUGGUGUAGCGGUGAAAUGCGCAGAUAUCAGGAGGAACACCUAUUGCGAAGGCAGCUCGCUGGGACGUAACUGACGCUGGAGACGCGAAAGCGUGGGGAGCAAACAGGAUUAGAUACCCCCGGU